CUCUUUGUGCGCCUGCUCUCAUGGCUUCUUUUUCUUCCCCUCUCUGCUGUUCCCCACCGAUCUCUGCGGAGUCUAUGGACUCUGGGGGACAAGACGCGGGUCGCCCUAGUGCAGCAGGCUCCUGACCUUCGCCAACCAGCAGGACCUGGCUCCCUGGUCUUCUCUCCUCCACUGCUCCCCCCCACCCCCGAUCUCUCCGGCGUCUGUGGACUCCGGAAGGCGAGACGCGGGUCGGCCUGGUACAGCAGGCGCCUGACCUUCGCCUGCGGGACCCAGGAGCACAAUGAAUGGGCUUUGCCGACACUCGCUGGCUGCCUAUGCUCGAAGGAAGGGCGAUGUCUGAAGGCCGCCCAGGGGCCCCAUCCCCUCACCUAGAUGUGGGCUAACCUAGGACCCAGACUAAGGUGGAGUUCCUACAAGUGACUAGAAUGUCAUGAUCAUCUCAUUGUCUAACAAGCCCUUUGUCCUCUGUGCUGGGAAGGCCUUAGCUGCUACUCAAAACUGACAAGUUGGACUCCUUUUUACUACUGCCUUGUUGCCAGCUAUCCGAGCGUGAAAGGCCGCAAAGCCGUGGGUGCUGGCUGUCCCACAUCACAGGCAUGGCAGGUGGCAGCCCAGACUGAACCAGAGCCUCACUUGAACAUGAGCAUUAGCCAAUGUAAUAAAAGCCUACCUUGCCUGAAGUGUAUCUGUUUUUCUGCUUACAAUGGCUUGCAAUGGAAGUGCAUGGUUUCCUGCUUCUAAUAAAAUCCUUUAAAAGCACUUAA
Long non-coding RNA from Rattus norvegicus (Norway rat), 767 nucleotides. RefSeq lists it as uncharacterized. The transcript is spliced from 6 exons. The record is from RefSeq and is marked validated. NCBI's taxonomy places the organism in Eukaryota, Metazoa, Chordata, Mammalia, Rodentia, Muridae.